RNAcentral lists this ribosomal RNA (396 nucleotides) under uncultured bacterium. RNAcentral describes it as "bacterial SSU rRNA". It matches the Rfam family "Bacterial small subunit ribosomal RNA", at positions 30 to 420 of the family's 1533-position model. The record is from RNAcentral.
AUUGAACGCUGGCGGCAUGCCUUACACAUGCAAGUCGAACGGCAGCAUGGAGGAGCUUGCUCCUCUGAUGGCGAGUGGCGAACGGGUGAGUAAAGCAUCGGAACGUACCGUGUAGUGGGGAUAACGUAGCGAAAGUUACGCUAAUACCGCAUACGCACUGAGGUGGAAAAGCAGGGGAUCGCAAGACCUUGCGCUAUACGAGCGGCCGAUGUCAGAUUAGCUAGUUGGUAGGGUAAAGGCCUACCAAGGCGACGAUCUGUAGCGGGUCUGAGAGGAUGGUCCGCCACACUGGGACUGAGACACGGCCCAGACUCCUACGGGAGGCAGCAGUGGGGAAUUUUGGACAAUGGGGGAAACCCUGAUCCAGCCAUGCCGCGUGAGUGAAGAAGGCCUCGG